GUGAGGAAUAUUGGACAAUGGGCGCAAGCCUGAUCCAGCCAUGCCGCGUGCAGGAAGACGCAUCUAUGGUGUGUAAACUGCUUUUGUACGGGAAGAAACACUCCCUCGUGAGGGAGCUUGACGGUACCGUAAGAAUAAGGAUCGGCUAACUCCGUGCCAGCAGCCGCGGUAAUACGGAGGAUCCAAGCGUUAUCCGGAAUCAUUGGGUUUAAAGGGUCCGUAGGCGGUUUAAUAAGUCAGUGGUGAAAGCCCAUCGUUCAACGAUGGAACGGCCAUUGAUACUGUUAGACUUGAAUUACAAGGAAGUAACUAGAAUAUGUAGUGUAGCGGUGAAAUGCUUAGAUAUUACAUGGAAUACCAAUUGCGAAGGCAGGUUACUACUUGUGGAUUGACGCUGAUGGACGAAAGCGUGGGGAGCGAACAGGAUUAGAAACCCCGGUAGUCC
This 445-nucleotide ribosomal RNA is filed under the name uncultured bacterium. Its description in RNAcentral is "partial 16S ribosomal RNA". It matches the Rfam family "Bacterial small subunit ribosomal RNA", at positions 354 to 796 of the family's 1533-position model. The record is from RNAcentral.